RNAcentral lists this ribosomal RNA (460 nucleotides) under uncultured bacterium. Its description in RNAcentral is "partial 16S ribosomal RNA". It matches the Rfam family "Bacterial small subunit ribosomal RNA", at positions 338 to 795 of the family's 1533-position model. The record is from RNAcentral.
CCUACGGGGGGCAGCAGUGAGGAAUAUUGGUCAAUGGACGAGAGUCUGAACCAGCCAAGUAGCGUGAAGAAUGACUGCCCUAUGGGUUGUAAACUUCUUUUAUAUGGGAAUAAAACGUUCCACGUGUGGGAUUUUGUAUGUACCAUAUGAAUAAGGAUCGGCUAACUCCGUGCCAGCAGCCGCGAUAAUACGGAGGAUCCGAGCGUUAUCCGGAUUUAUUGGGUUUAAAGGGAGCGUAGGUGGAUUGUUAAGUCAGUUGUGAAAGUUUGCGGCUCAACCGUAAAAUUGCAGUUGAAACUGGCAGUCUUGAGUACAGUAGAGGUGGGCGGAAUUCGUGGUGUAGCGGUGAAAUGCUUAGAUAUCACGAAGAACUCCGAUUGCGAAGGCAGUUCACUGGACUGCAACUGACACUGAGGCUCGAAAGUGUGGGUAUCAAACAGGAUUAGAUACCCGUGUAGUC